GAAGAAAGAUCGUUUUUAGAAAAGAAAGAACG
RNAcentral lists this small RNA (32 nucleotides) under Arabidopsis thaliana (thale cress). Lineage: Eukaryota; Viridiplantae; Streptophyta; Magnoliopsida; Brassicales; Brassicaceae. The record is from RNAcentral.